AUGGAAGCUACAGACGAGGAGAGGCCACUGCUGAACCACCAUUGCCGGCCUCCACAGCCGCAGGACGAAUGUUCAAGGUACACGAGUGAUGGAACAGUUGAUUUCUACAGACAGCCUGCUCUCAAGCAGAGCACUGGUAACUGGAGAGCAUGUUUCUUCAUUCUAGGUGCCGAAUUCAGCGAAUGCUUGUGUUUCUCUGCCGUCGCCAAGAACUUGGUUACCUACCUCACGACGGUGCUCCAUGAGAGCAACGUCGACGCUGCGAGGAAUGUGUCCACCUGGGUCGGCAGCUGCUUCCUCACUCCGGUCAUCGGAGCCUUCUUGGCCGACUCUUACUGGGGAAGAUACUCCACAAUUGCAGUUUUCCUGUCGGUUUACAUCGUUGGGAUGCUCAUCAUGACAUCAUCGGCGGCGCUUCCGUUUCUCCUUCCUCGUUCCUCCGACGAGAGUGGUGGUGUCCAACCUGGUGCCGUCUACUUGGGGCUCUACCUUGUCGCCCUCGGCACAGGAGGAAUCAAGCCCUGUGCCGCGGCCUUGGGCGCCAAUCAGUUCGACGGCGCCGACCCAAAGGAGCGGGUGGCCAAGGGCUCCUUCUUCAACUGGUACUACUUCUCGACCAACAUUGGCUCGCUGCUGGCGGCGACGUUGCUCGUAUGGGUGCAGGACAACAUCGGGUGGACCGUCGGGUUCGCGAUCCCGACGGUCAUAGGAUUCGGCCUAGCCGUGUUCGUCGCCGGGGGGAGGAUUUACAGGUACAAGCCACUAGGAGGGGGAGGUAGCCCGCUGGCCAGGGUCUUCCAGGUGGUUGUGGCAGCCACGAGGAAUUGCCGUCUCGAGCUGCCCGAUGAUUCCUCGGCCCUGCACGAAAAUGAUAGAGGUGAGCAUACAAGUCAAUUUAGGUUCUUUGACAAGGCUGCGAUCGUGCUGCCGUCGUCGGAGAAGAAGGGCCCGUGGCGGCUCUGCACAGUGUCGCAGGUCGAGGAGCUGAAGAUGCUGCUGCGGAUGUCCCCCGUCUGGGCGUUGCUGCUCAUCUUCUUCGCAGUCACCGCGCAGAUGUCCUCGACGAUGAUCGAGCAGGGCAUGGCUAUGGACAAGCGCGUCGGCACCUUUGUUGUGCCGCCUGCGUCCCUGUCUACCUUCGACGUCAUCAGCGUCCUCGUCUGGGUUCCUAUUUAUGACUCUGUCCUUGUGCCGCUCGCGCGGCGUGUCACCGGCGAGGACAGGGGCUUCACGCAGCUCCAGCGCAUUGGUGUCGGCCUAGCACUCUCUGCGGCCGGCAUGGCGUACGCUGCGUUGAUUGAGACGAGGCGGCUGGCGGCACCGGCGACCUCGAUGAGCAUCAUGUGGCAGGCGCCGUGCUACUUCGUGCUGGGCGCGGCCGAGGUGUUCACCAGCAUCGGCAUGCUCGAGUUCUUCUACGACCAGUCCCCUGUGUCCAUGAAGAGCCUCGGCGCGGCGCUCGCGCUGCUCGCCAUCGCUGGCGGUAACUACCUCAACUCUGUCCUACUGGGCGCUGUCGCGUCGACCACCGGGUGGAUCGCGGACAAUCUCGACCAAGGCCACCUUGACUACUUCUUCUGGUUCAUGGCUGCUCUCAGCGCGCUCAACCUGUUGCAGUUCGUCUACUGCUCGACCAGAUACAAAAGCAUAGAUCAGCAUUAG
This 1662-nucleotide ribosomal RNA is filed under the name Triticum aestivum (bread wheat). RNAcentral's name for it is "partial small subunit ribosomal RNA". The record is from RNAcentral. Lineage: Eukaryota; Viridiplantae; Streptophyta; Magnoliopsida; Poales; Poaceae.